This is a small nucleolar RNA of Ochotona princeps (American pika), 120 nucleotides long. Its record names the gene SNORA74. It matches the Rfam family "Small nucleolar RNA SNORA74". Rfam says of the family: U19 belongs to the H/ACA class of snoRNAs. snoRNAs bind a number of proteins (including dyskerin, Gar1p and Nop10p in the case of the H/ACA class) to form snoRNP complexes. The record is from Ensembl. Lineage: Eukaryota; Metazoa; Chordata; Mammalia; Lagomorpha; Ochotonidae.
CCCAGCUGCAGGCAACUGCCUAGGUUGCCUUGUACCUAGACAAGAGUUACACUGUUGGGAUUAAAAACAGUCAAUGGCUGGAUGGCAUUCUGGACCUGGUGCCUGGUUCAUGCCAACUGU